This 254-nucleotide ribosomal RNA is filed under the name uncultured bacterium. RNAcentral describes it as "partial 16S ribosomal RNA". It matches the Rfam family "Bacterial small subunit ribosomal RNA", at positions 524 to 776 of the family's 1533-position model. The record is from RNAcentral.
UACGGGGGGGGCAAGCGUUGUUCGGAAUUACUGGGCGUAAAGGGCUCGUAGGCGGCCAAUUAAGUCAGACGUGAAAUCCCUCGGCUUAACCGGGGAACUGCGUCUGAUACUGGAUGGCUUGAGUUUGGGAGAGGGAUGCGGAAUUCCAGGUGUAGCGGUGAAAUGCGUAGAUAUCUGGAGGAACACCGGUGGCGAAGGCGGCAUCCUGGACCAACACUGACGCUGAGUGAGCGAAAGCCAGGGGAGCAAACGGG